GAUCAUGGCUCAGAUUGAACGCUGGCGGAAUGCUUUACACAUGCAAGUCGAGCGGCAGCGCGGGGGCAACCCUGGCGGCGAGCGGCGAACGGGUGAGUAACAUAUCGGAACGUACCCAGUCGUGGGGGAUAACUAUCCGAAAGGAUAGCUAAUACCGCAUACGACCUGAGGGUGAAAGCGGGGGACCGUAAGGCCUCGCGCGAUUGGAGCGGCCGAUAUCGGAUUAGCUAGUUGGUGAGGUAAAGGCUCACCAAGGCGACGAUCCGUAGCUGGUCUGAGAGGACGAUCAGCCACACUGGAACUGAGACACGGUCCAGACUCCUACGGGAGGCAGCAGUGGGGAAUUUUGGACAAUGGGGGCAACCCUGAUCCAGCCAUUCCGCGUGAGUGAAGAAGGCCUUCGGGUUGUAAAGCUCUUUCAGCAGGAACGAAACGGUGGUCCCUAAUACGGGCUACUAAUGACGGUACCUGAAGAAGAAGCACCGGCUAACUACGUG
RNAcentral lists this ribosomal RNA (497 nucleotides) under uncultured bacterium. RNAcentral describes it as "bacterial SSU rRNA". It matches the Rfam family "Bacterial small subunit ribosomal RNA", at positions 15 to 507 of the family's 1533-position model. The record is from RNAcentral.